RNAcentral lists this ribosomal RNA (808 nucleotides) under uncultured Eutypella. RNAcentral's name for it is "eukaryotic LSU rRNA". The stretch from base 424 to 577 matches the Rfam family "5.8S ribosomal RNA". Lineage: Eukaryota; Fungi; Ascomycota; Sordariomycetes; Xylariales; Diatrypaceae. The record is from RNAcentral.
UUAAUGUGAUUUAGACUUAUGCCUGCGAAAUGCCACAAAACAGAGUUUCGUUGCCGCCGGCGCGGUCACCGCCGUUUCUUGCAGCAAACUUUUAUUCGGAAACACUCCCGAGUCGUUUGUCGCCAGGCCAACCUCCCCAGGCAAAGAGUAACCUACUUCAAGGGUAGGGGCACUACCAACGUCCUUUGGGGAUUUUUCUCCCUUAGGGGGGACCUGCGGAGGGAUCAUUAAUGAGUUUUCUAAACUCCAAACCCUUGAGAACAUACCUAGUUGCCUCGGCGGACUUGCCCUGGGACGACCUACCCUGCAGCGAGUUACCCUGUAACGAGUUGCCCUGUAGAGACCUGCCCUGUAGCCUGCCCGCCGGCGGCCAACCUAAACUCUGUUUUGUGGCACUUCUGAGGAUUAUUCUAAAUGAAUUAAAACUUUCAACAACGGAUCUCUUGGUUCUGGCAUCGAUGAAGAACGCAGCGAAAUGCGAUAAGUAAUGUGAAUUGCAGAAUUCAGUGAAUCAUCGAAUCUUUGAACGCACAUUGCGCCCAUUAGUAUUCUAGUGGGCAUGCCUGUUCGAGCGUCAUUUCAACCAUCAAGCCCUAUUUGCUUGGCGUUGGGAGACUUGUAGGCCCGGCCUGCAAGCUCCUGAAAUAGAUCGGCGGAGUCGUGGCGACCCUCAGCGUAGUAAUUCUUCUCGCUUUAGGUGUCGGCGCUGGCGUUUAGCCGUUAAACCCCCUAUUUUUUUAGUCUUGACCUCGGAUCAGGUAGGAAUACCCGCUGAACUUAAGCAUAUCAAUAAGGCCGGAAGGAAAAA